This 1468-nucleotide ribosomal RNA is filed under the name Lactiplantibacillus plantarum subsp. plantarum. RNAcentral's name for it is "partial 16S ribosomal RNA". It matches the Rfam family "Bacterial small subunit ribosomal RNA". Lineage: Bacteria; Bacillati; Bacillota; Bacilli; Lactobacillales; Lactobacillaceae. The record is from RNAcentral.
AGUCGAACGAACUCUGGUAUUGAUUGGUGCUUGCAUCAUGAUUUACAUUUGAGUGAGUGGCGAACUGGUGAGUAACACGUGGGAAACCUGCCCAGAAGCGGGGGAUAACACCUGGAAACAGAUGCUAAUACCGCAUAACAACUUGGACCGCAUGGUCCGAGUUUGAAAGAUGGCUUCGGCUAUCACUUUUGGAUGGUCCCGCGGCGUAUUAGCUAGAUGGUGGGGUAACGGCUCACCAUGGCAAUGAUACGUAGCCGACCUGAGAGGGUAAUCGGCCACAUUGGGACUGAGACACGGCCCAAACUCCUACGGGAGGCAGCAGUAGGGAAUCUUCCACAAUGGACGAAAGUCUGAUGGAGCAACGCCGCGUGAGUGAAGAAGGGUUUCGGCUCGUAAAACUCUGUUGUUAAAGAAGAACAUAUCUGAGAGUAACUGUUCAGGUAUUGACGGUAUUUAACCAGAAAGCCACGGCUAACUACGUGCCAGCAGCCGCGGUAAUACGUAGGUGGCAAGCGUUGUCCGGAUUUAUUGGGCGUAAAGCGAGCGCAGGCGGUUUUUUAAGUCUGAUGUGAAAGCCUUCGGCUCAACCGAAGAAGUGCAUCGGAAACUGGGAAACUUGAGUGCAGAAGAGGACAGUGGAACUCCAUGUGUAGCGGUGAAAUGCGUAGAUAUAUGGAAGAACACCAGUGGCGAAGGCGGCUGUCUGGUCUGUAACUGACGCUGAGGCUCGAAAGUAUGGGUAGCAAACAGGAUUAGAUACCCUGGUAGUCCAUACCGUAAACGAUGAAUGCUAAGUGUUGGAGGGUUUCCGCCCUUCAGUGCUGCAGCUAACGCAUUAAGCAUUCCGCCUGGGGAGUACGGCCGCAAGGCUGAAACUCAAAGGAAUUGACGGGGGCCCGCACAAGCGGUGGAGCAUGUGGUUUAAUUCGAAGCUACGCGAAGAACCUUACCAGGUCUUGACAUACUAUGCAAAUCUAAGAGAUUAGACGUUCCCUUCGGGGACAUGGAUACAGGUGGUGCAUGGUUGUCGUCAGCUCGUGUCGUGAGAUGUUGGGUUAAGUCCCGCAACGAGCGCAACCCUUAUUAUCAGUUGCCAGCAUUAAGUUGGGCACUCUGGUGAGACUGCCGGUGACAAACCGGAGGAAGGUGGGGAUGACGUCAAAUCAUCAUGCCCCUUAUGACCUGGGCUACACACGUGCUACAAUGGAUGGUACAACGAGUUGCGAACUCGCGAGAGUAAGCUAAUCUCUUAAAGCCAUUCUCAGUUCGGAUUGUAGGCUGCAACUCGCCUACAUGAAGUCGGAAUCGCUAGUAAUCGCGGAUCAGCAUGCCGCGGUGAAUACGUUCCCGGGCCUUGUACACACCGCCCGUCACACCAUGAGAGUUUGUAACACCCAAAGUCGGUGGGGUAACCUUUUAGGAACCAGCCGCCUAAGGUGGGACAGAUGAUUAGGGUGAAGUCGUAACA